UACGGAGGGGGCAAGCGUUGUUCGGAAUUACUGGGCGUAAAGGGCGUGUAGGCGGUUUGUCGAGUCAGGCGUGAAAGCCCCGGGCUUAACCUGGGAACUGCGUUUGAUACUGACAGGCUAGAGGUUGGGAGAGGAGAGUGGAAUUCCCAGUGUAGAGGUGAAAUUCGUAGAUAUUGGGAAGAACACCAGUGGCGAAGGCGGCUCUCUGGUCCACACCUGACGCUGAGGCGCGAAAGCGUGGGGAGCAAACAGG
RNAcentral lists this unclassified non-coding RNA (253 nucleotides) under uncultured Alphaproteobacteria bacterium. RNAcentral describes it as "contains 16S-23S intergenic spacer region". It matches the Rfam family "Bacterial small subunit ribosomal RNA", at positions 524 to 776 of the family's 1533-position model. The record is from RNAcentral. Lineage: Bacteria; Pseudomonadati; Pseudomonadota; Alphaproteobacteria.